This 355-nucleotide ribosomal RNA is filed under the name uncultured bacterium. Its description in RNAcentral is "bacterial SSU rRNA". It matches the Rfam family "Bacterial small subunit ribosomal RNA", at positions 8 to 353 of the family's 1533-position model. The record is from RNAcentral.
AGAGUUUGAUCCUGGCUCAGGAUGAACGCUAGCUACAGGCUUAACACAUGCAAGUCGAGGGGCAGCAUGGUCUUAGCUUGCUAAGGCCGAUGGCGACCGGCGCACGGGGUGAGUAACACGUAUCCAACCUGCCGUCUACUCUUGGACAGCCUUCUGAAAGGAAGAUUAAUACAAGAUGGCAUCAUGAGUCCGCAUGUUCACAUGAUUAAAGGUAUUCCGGUAGACGACGGGGAUGCGUUCCAUUAGAUAGUAGGCGGGGUAACGGCCCACCUAGUCUUCGAUGGAUAGGGGUUCUGAGAGGAAGGUCCCCCACAUUGGAACUGAGACACGGUCCAAACUCCUACGGGCGGCAGCA